GGACCUGUAGCUCAGGUGGAUAGAGCAGUGCCCUCCUAAGGCACGUGCCGGGGGUUCGAAUCCUCUCAGGUCCACCA
Molecule: transfer RNA, 77 nt
Filed under: Peptoniphilus sp. oral taxon 375
Lineage: Bacteria; Bacillati; Bacillota; Tissierellia; Tissierellales; Peptoniphilaceae
Also listed under: 3 other names
Description: tRNA-Arg
Rfam family: tRNA
About the family: Transfer RNA (tRNA) molecules are approximately 80 nucleotides in length. Their secondary structure includes four short double-helical elements and three loops (D, anti-codon, and T loops). Further hydrogen bonds mediate the characteristic L-shaped molecular structure. tRNAs have two regions of fundamental functional importance: the anti-codon, which is responsible for specific mRNA codon recognition, and the 3' end, to which the tRNAs corresponding amino acid is attached (by aminoacyl-tRNA synthetases). tRNAs cope with the degeneracy of the genetic code in two manners: having more than one tRNA (with a specific anti-codon) for a particular amino acid; and 'wobble' base-pairing, i.e. permitting non-standard base-pairing at the 3rd anti-codon position.
Source: RNAcentral